GAUCCUGGCUCAGGAUGAACGCUAGCUACAGGCUUAACACAUGCAAGUCGAGGGGCAGCAUGGUCUUAGCUUGCUAAGGCCGAUGGCGACCGGCGCACGGGUGAGUAACACGUAUCCAACCUGCCGUCUACUCUUGGACAGCCUUCUGAAAGGAAGAUUAAUGCCCGAUGGUUUCAAGGGAUUGCAUGGUAUCUUGAAUAAAGAUUCAUCGGUAUGCGAUGGGG
RNAcentral lists this ribosomal RNA (224 nucleotides) under uncultured bacterium. RNAcentral's name for it is "partial 16S ribosomal RNA". It matches the Rfam family "Bacterial small subunit ribosomal RNA", at positions 15 to 230 of the family's 1533-position model. The record is from RNAcentral.